AAUUUUUUUUUUUUUUUUGGAUAAAUUGAAUUAAGUUAAUUCUGAAUUAUGAUGACCGUUAUAAUUACAACAAGCAAAUGGAUGUGAGACUUCUGUCCUGCAUGAAUUCAAUGAGUCGGCAACUUCAGCUGCUUAAAUCUUCGUAACACUUUCUUUACUAUGGCAGGGGGCAUUCUGAUUUAGAGUGUUUAUGCGUUUAAUGAUGCAACCUAGUGGAAUAGUAGCUUCCAUUAGAAAGCAAUUUGUUGAUUUCGCCAUGCAUCAUGCUAAUAUCUUCAACUUUCUCAUUUGGUGUUGAAUUCUCAAGUUAACUUCUUUUGCUCCUGUUUUGUUAAUCCUUUUUUCCACCUUCCA
Molecule: unclassified non-coding RNA, 354 nt
Filed under: Hevea brasiliensis (rubber tree)
Lineage: Eukaryota; Viridiplantae; Streptophyta; Magnoliopsida; Malpighiales; Euphorbiaceae
Source: RNAcentral